This 356-nucleotide unclassified non-coding RNA is filed under the name soil metagenome. RNAcentral describes it as "partial contains 5.8S ribosomal RNA, internal transcribed spacer 2, and large subunit ribosomal RNA". The stretch from base 1 to 121 matches the Rfam family "5.8S ribosomal RNA", at positions 35 to 154 of the family's 154-position model. The record is from RNAcentral.
GAUGAAGAACGUAGCGAAAUGCGAUAAGUAAUGCGAAUUGCAGAAUUUCCGUGAGUCAUCGAAUCUUUGAACGCACAUUGCGCCUCUCGGUAUUCCGGGAGGCACGCCUGUUCGAGCGCCAUUACACCCCCCAAGCUUGGCUUGAUGUUGGGCGACGUCCUCGUUUGCGAGGACCCGCCUGGAACGCGUGGGCGCCGCCGCCGGACCACGAGCGUAGCAAGACCAUCAAACGUCAUUCGCUCUGUAGGCUCCUGCGGACGGUCCGCCGAACCUCGAUCUUCGGAUCGAUCUUUCUAGUUUGGCCUCGGAUCAGGCGGGGAUACCCGCUGAACUUAAGCAUAUCAAUAAGCGGAGGA